UUUGGAUUCAGGCUCAGGAUGAACGCUGGCGGCGUGCUUAACACAUGCAAGUCGAACGGUGAACACGGAGCUUGCUCUGUGGGAUCAGUGGCGAACGGGUGAGUAACACGUGAGCAACCUGCCCCUGACUCUGGGAUAAGCGCUGGAAACGGCGUCUAAUACUGGAUACGAGUAGCGACCGCAUGGUCAGUUACUGGAAAGAUUUAUUGGUUGGGGAUGGGCUCGCGGCCUAUCAGCUUGUUGGUGAGGUAAUGGCUCACCAAGGCGUCGACGGGUAGCCGGCCUGAGAGGGUGACCGGCCACACUGGGACUGAGACACGGCCCAGACUCCUACGGGAGGCAGCAGUGGGGAAUAUUGCACAAUGGGCGCAAGCCUGAUGCAGCAACGCCGCGUGAGGGAUGACGGCCUUCGGGUUGUAAACCUCUUUUAGCAGGGAAGAAGCGAAAGUGACGGUACUGCAGAAAA
This 466-nucleotide ribosomal RNA is filed under the name Microbacterium sp. CAS905i. RNAcentral's name for it is "bacterial SSU rRNA". It matches the Rfam family "Bacterial small subunit ribosomal RNA", at positions 12 to 488 of the family's 1533-position model. The record is from RNAcentral. Lineage: Bacteria; Bacillati; Actinomycetota; Actinomycetes; Micrococcales; Microbacteriaceae.